AGAGAGAGACAUGCGCGCAUAUCAAUAAGCGGAGGAAAAGAAACUAACUAAGGAUUCCCUCAGUAACGGCGAGUGAAGCGGGAAGAGCUCAAAUUUGAAAUCUUCAAGGUUCUACCUUGACGAAUUGUAGUUUAAAGAAGUGUUUUCUGUUGAAGUUUUGGUAAAAGUUCUUUGGAAUAGGACAUCAUAGAGGGUGAGAAUCCCGUAUUUGACCAUUAUUUUCCAGCUUUGUGAUACACUUUCAAAGAGUCGGAUUGUUUGGGAAUGCAGUCCAAAAUGGGUGGUAAAUUUCAUCUAAAGCUAAAUAUUGGCGAGAGACCGAUAGCGAACAAGUACCGUGAGGGAAAGAUGAAAAGAACUUUGAAAAGAGAGUUAAACAGUACGUGAAAUUGUCAAAAGGGAAGCGUUUGACACCAGUGUUGUUUUCUCGAAAAUCAAUUAAAAAAUGGCUAGAUUUUGUAUUGUUGAUUGACCUUUAAUAAGCUUCACUGCUACAUCUUUUCGUGUCUUUUUUAAUGCACUUUUCGUUUAACAAGUCAACAUCAAGUUUCUUUUGUUGUAAAAGGGUCAUUGGAAGGUGGCUUUCUUUUCGGAGAAAGUGUUUAUAGCCUUUGGCCUCUGCAAUCGGAGAGACUGAGGUCUGCAGCGUAGACUCUUCGGGGUUAGAUACAUUUGUGCUAAGUUAUAGCCUUUCUAUAGACAACUUGUUGACUAUAAUCAGUCAUGUAGCUUACUCGCUUAUGCUAUUUUACCUACGCUUAGGAUGUUGAAGAUGUAGCACAUCAU
RNAcentral lists this ribosomal RNA (786 nucleotides) under uncultured Neocallimastigales. RNAcentral describes it as "partial large subunit ribosomal RNA". It matches the Rfam family "Eukaryotic large subunit ribosomal RNA", at positions 23 to 635 of the family's 3401-position model. The record is from RNAcentral. Lineage: Eukaryota; Fungi; Neocallimastigomycota; Neocallimastigomycetes; Neocallimastigales.